GAUGAACGCUGGCGGCGUGCUUAACACAUGCAAGUCGAACGGAAAGGCCUCUGCUUGCAGGGGUACUCGAGUGGCGAACGGGUGAGUAACACGUGGGUGAUCUGCCCUGCACUUUGGGAUAACCUUGGGAAACUGGGUCUAAUACCGGAUAGGAGCAUGGUCUGGAUGGUGUUGUGGAAAGAUUUUCGGUGGGGGGUGAGGUAGCCGCCUCUUAGCUUGUUGGUGGGGGAGUGGUGUACUAAGAAGGCUGUGGGGGGUAGGCGGCGUGAGGGGGUGAGCGGCCACAUUGGGAGUGAUAUGGGGCACAGACUCAUAGGGGGGGCAGGAGUGGGGUAUUUUGCAAUAUGGGCGAGAGUCUGAUGCAGAAGCGCCGUGUGGGGGAAGGCGGUCUUCGGGGUGUACACCGUUCUCGACUGUGAAGGAGUGUGAGUGACGGUAAUGGGUAAAGAAGCACCGGCUAACUACGUG
RNAcentral lists this ribosomal RNA (468 nucleotides) under uncultured bacterium. RNAcentral's name for it is "partial 16S ribosomal RNA". It matches the Rfam family "Bacterial small subunit ribosomal RNA", at positions 28 to 507 of the family's 1533-position model. The record is from RNAcentral.